Long non-coding RNA from Cygnus olor (mute swan), 285 nucleotides. RefSeq lists it as uncharacterized. The record is from RefSeq and is a predicted model, not a curated record. The transcript is spliced from 2 exons. Lineage: Eukaryota; Metazoa; Chordata; Aves; Anseriformes; Anatidae.
AGUGACCCUAAAAAACCACACAGCCUGUGUAGCACCUGAGACCUCCCAGUAACAGCAGUGACCCUACAAUAACACAGCCCACGUAGUGCCCAAGACCCCUCAUAACAGCAGUGACCCUACAAAAACACACAGCCCACGCAGUGCCCUAGGCCCCCGGUAGCAGCAGUGACCCUACAAUAACACAGCCCACGUAAUGCCCAAGACCCCCCAGUAGCAGCAGUGACCCUACAAUAACACACAGCCCACGCAGUGCCCUAGACACCCCAAUAAAGGCUGUGGAGCACC